UACGGGGGGUGCGAGCGUUGUCCGGAAUCACUGGGCGUAAAGGGCGCGUAGGUGGCGUGAUAAGGGUGUGGUGAAAGCCCGGGGCUCAACCCCGGGUCUGCCAUGCCGACUGUCAGGCUGGAGUACUGUAGGGGCAGGCGGAAUUCCGGGUGUAGCGGUGGAAUGCGUAGAGAUCCGGAGGAAGACCGGUGGCGAAGGCGGCCUGCUGGGCAGUUACUGACACUGAGGAGCGAAAGCAUGGGGAGCGAACAGG
This 253-nucleotide ribosomal RNA is filed under the name uncultured bacterium. RNAcentral describes it as "partial 16S ribosomal RNA". It matches the Rfam family "Bacterial small subunit ribosomal RNA", at positions 524 to 776 of the family's 1533-position model. The record is from RNAcentral.